UACGUAGGGUGCAAGCGUUGUCCGGAAUUAUUGGGCGUAAAGAGCUCGUAGGCGGUCUGUCACGUCGGCUGUGAAAUCCCGAGGCUCAACCUCGGGUCUGCAGUCGAUACGGGCAAACUAGAGUAUUGCAGGGGAGACUGGAAUUCCUGGUGUAGCGGUGAAAUGCGCAGAUAUCAGGAGGAACACCGGUGGCGAAGGCGGGUCUCUGGGCCAUUACUGACGCUGAGGAGCGAAAGCGUGGGGAGCGAACAGG
Molecule: ribosomal RNA, 253 nt
Filed under: uncultured bacterium
Lineage: Bacteria
Description: partial 16S ribosomal RNA
Rfam family: Bacterial small subunit ribosomal RNA
Source: RNAcentral